Molecule: ribosomal RNA, 497 nt
Filed under: uncultured bacterium
Lineage: Bacteria
Description: partial 16S ribosomal RNA
Rfam family: Bacterial small subunit ribosomal RNA
Source: RNAcentral
GACGAACGCUGGCGGCGUGCCUAAUACAUGCAAGUUGAGCGAUGAAGCUUGGUGCUUGCACCAAUUUGAAGAGCAGCGAACGGGUGAGUAACGCGUGGGGAAUCUGCCUUUGAGCGGGGGACAACAUUUGGAAACGAAUGCUAAUACCGCAUAACAACUUUAAACAUAAGUUUUAAGUUUGAAAGAUGCAAUUGCAUCACUCAAAGAUGAUCCCGCGUUGUAUUAGCUAGUUGGUGAGGUAAAGGCUCACCAAGGCGAUGAUACAUAGCCGACCUGAGAGGGUGAUCGGCCACAUUGGGACUGAGACACGGCCCAAACUCCUACGGGAGGCAGCAGUAGGGAAUCUUCGGCAAUGGACGAAAGUCUGGCCGAGCAACGCCGCGUGAGUGAAGAAGGUUUACGGAUCGUAAAACUCUGUUGGUAGAGAAGAACGUUGGUGAGAGUGGAAAGCUCAUCAAGUGACGGUAACUACCCAGAAAGGGACGGCUAACUACGUG